AGAAUCAACGCUGGCGGCGUGCCUAACACAUGCAAGUCGAACGAGAAAGGGACUUCGGUCCUGAGUAUAGUGGCGCACGGGUGAGUAACACGUGAAUAAUCUACCUCCGAGUGGGGAAUAACUAAGAGAAAUCUUAGCUAAUACCGCAUAACACUUACGAGUCAAAGCAGCAAUGCGCUUGGGGAGGAGGUCGCGGCCGAUUAGCUAGUUGGCGGGGUAAUGGCCCACCAAGGCGAUGAUCGGUAUCCGGCCUGAGAGGGCGCACGGACACACUGGAACUGAAACACGGUCCAGACUCCUACGGGAGGCAGCAGUGGGGAAUUUUGCGCAAUGGGGGAAACCCUGACGCAGCAACGCCGCGUGGAGGAUGAAGUAUCUUGGUACGUAAACUCCUUUCGAUGGGGAAGAUAAUGACGGUACCCAUAGAAGAAGCCCCGGCUAACUUCGCGCCAGAGCCGC
Molecule: ribosomal RNA, 459 nt
Filed under: uncultured bacterium
Lineage: Bacteria
Description: SSU rRNA
Rfam family: Bacterial small subunit ribosomal RNA
Source: RNAcentral